AUGUUGGAGCAUGAGUCGUGCCUCGGAAAGGGCCUUGGCUAUUCGGUCAGCUCGGGGUAUGAGUUAAUGGCGGAUUCCUUCAUUCAAUAUGGUCUGGCGCAAGCUUUUGAUCAUGCAUUUCAAAGUGUUUGGAAAGUGGAGGUGCCAUUAAAAAUAAAUACUUUCGGUUGGAGAUGUUUUCUAAACAGACUUCCCACGAGAGAUCUUCUUAGUUGUAGAGGUGCUAUAUUGACAUGA
Vicia faba (fava bean) is the source of this 237-nucleotide non-coding RNA. NCBI's taxonomy places the organism in Eukaryota, Viridiplantae, Streptophyta, Magnoliopsida, Fabales, Fabaceae. The record is from the annotation of a GenBank genome assembly.